AUUGAACGCUGGCGGCAUGCUUUACACAUGCAAGUCGAACGGUAACAGGCCUUCGGGUGCUGACGAGUGGCGAACGGGUGGGUAAUGCAUCGGAACGUGCCCAGAGGUGGGGGAUAACGCAGCGAAAGCUGUGCUAAUACCGCAUGUGAUCUGAGGAUGAAAGCGGGGGACCAGGCAGCAAUGUUUGGCCUCGCGCCUUUGGAGCGGCCGAUGUCAGAUUAGGUAGUUGGUGGGGUAAAGGCCUACCAAGCCGACGAUCUGUAGCUGGUCUGAGAGGACGACCAGCCACACUGGGACUGAGACACGGCCCAGAGUCCUACGGGACGGAGCAGUGGGGAAUUGUGGACAAUAGGCGGAAGCCUGAUCCAGCAAUGCCGCGUGUGGGAAGGAGGCCUUCGGGUUGUGAAGCGCUUUUGUACGGAGCGAAAAGGCUCUGGCUAAUACCUAGGGCUGAUGACGGUACCGUAAGAAGAAGCACCGGCUAACUACGUG
This 492-nucleotide ribosomal RNA is filed under the name uncultured bacterium. RNAcentral describes it as "partial 16S ribosomal RNA". It matches the Rfam family "Bacterial small subunit ribosomal RNA", at positions 29 to 507 of the family's 1533-position model. The record is from RNAcentral.